AUGAAACACUCCUACGGGAGGCAGCAGUGGGGAAUAUUGGACAAUGGUCGGAAGACUGAUCCAGCCAUGCCGCGUGCAGGAAGACGGCCUUAUGGGUUGUAAACUGCUUUUGCAGGGGAAGAAUAAGGACUACGUGUAGUUUGAUGACGGUACUCUGCGAAUAAGCAUCGGCUAACUCCGUGCCAGCAGCCGCGGUAAUACGGAGGAUGCGAGCGUUAUCCGGAAUCAUCGGGUUUAAAGGGUCCGUAGGCGGGCUAAUAAGUCAGAGGUGAAAGCGCUCAGCUCAACUGAGCAACUGCCUUUGAAACUGUUAGUCUUGAAUGGUUGUGAAGUAGUUGGAAUGUGUAGUGUAGCGGUGAAAUGCUUAGAUAUUACACAGAACACCGAUAGCGAAGGCAUAUUACUAACAAUUAAUUGACGCUGAUGGACGAAAGCGUGGGGAGCGAACAGGAUUAGAUACCCUUGUAGUCCGAAGUUC
RNAcentral lists this ribosomal RNA (478 nucleotides) under uncultured bacterium. RNAcentral's name for it is "bacterial SSU rRNA". It matches the Rfam family "Bacterial small subunit ribosomal RNA", at positions 328 to 802 of the family's 1533-position model. The record is from RNAcentral.